Molecule: unclassified non-coding RNA, 149 nt
Filed under: uncultured Rhinocladiella
Lineage: Eukaryota; Fungi; Ascomycota; Eurotiomycetes; Chaetothyriales; Herpotrichiellaceae
Description: sequence contains ITS1
Source: RNAcentral
CCGAGUGAGGGGGCCUCGCGCCCUCGAUCUCCAACCCUUUGUUUAAUCAACUCUGUUGCCUCGGGGGUGACCCGGCCGCGUGUCGGGCGCCCCCAGAGGGCCCAUCAAUUCUGCAUCCCUGCGUCGGAGUAUUGAAAGCAAAUCAAUCA